CAGGAAUCUGCACAUCCGGCCUGCUCAUCUCCUGGAUCCUGCAGGUGGCGCUCCUCCAGCUGCCUGAACGUUCAUAGCUGAGUCUCUGUCCUUUCCCAGUCUUUAUGAAACUCAAUAUCCACAUGCUAUACAAUCACCUUCCGGUAAUUUUCAAGUUUCCAGGUCACUCCUGAAAAUGUUUCCAAAAGUAAGUGUGUGUUGGGGCCAUUGUUCCAAUUCUC
RNAcentral lists this long non-coding RNA (221 nucleotides) under Cavia porcellus (domestic guinea pig). RNAcentral's name for it is "lncRNA (ENSCPOG00000030859.1)". The record is from RNAcentral. Lineage: Eukaryota; Metazoa; Chordata; Mammalia; Rodentia; Caviidae.